RNAcentral lists this ribosomal RNA (492 nucleotides) under uncultured bacterium. Its description in RNAcentral is "partial 16S ribosomal RNA". It matches the Rfam family "Bacterial small subunit ribosomal RNA", at positions 29 to 507 of the family's 1533-position model. The record is from RNAcentral.
AGUGAACGCUGGCGGUAGGCCUAACACAUGCAAGUCGAACGGCAGCACAGUAAGAGCUUGCUCUUACGGGUGGCGAGUGGCGGACGGGUGAGGAAUACAUCGGAAUCUACUUUUUCGGGGGGGAUAACGUAGGGAAACUUACGCUAAUACCGCAUACGACCUACGGGUGAAAGCAGGGGAUCUUCGGACCUUGCGCGAUUGAAUGAGCCGAUGUCGGAUUAGUUGGUUGGGGGGGGAAAGGCCCACCAAGGCGACGAUCCGUAGCUGGUCUGAGAGGAUGAUCCGCCACCCUGGAACUGAGACACGGUCCAGACUCCUACGGGAGGCAGCAGUGGGGAAUAUUGGACAAUGGGCGCAAGCCUGAUCCAGCCAUACCGCGUGGGUGAAGAAGGCCUUCGGGUUGUAAAGCCCUUUUGUUGGGAAAGAAAAGCAGCAGGUUAAUACCCCGCUGUUCUGACGGUACCCAAAGAAUAAGCACCGGCUAACUUCGUG